UACGUAGGGUGCGAGCGUUAAUCGGAAUUACUGGGCGUAAAGCGUGCGCAGGCGGUUUUGUAAGCCAGAUGUGAAAUCCCCGGGCUUAACCUGGGAAUGGCAUUUGAGACUGCAAGGCUGGAGUUUGGCAGAGGAGACUGGAAUUCCCGGUGUAGCAGUGAAAUGCGUAGAUAUCGGGAGGAAUACCGAUGGCGAAGGCAGGUCUCUGGGCUAUAACUGACGCUCAUGCACGAAAGCGUGGGGAGCAAACAGG
RNAcentral lists this ribosomal RNA (253 nucleotides) under uncultured bacterium. Its description in RNAcentral is "partial 16S ribosomal RNA". It matches the Rfam family "Bacterial small subunit ribosomal RNA", at positions 524 to 776 of the family's 1533-position model. The record is from RNAcentral.